This is a long non-coding RNA of Vespa mandarinia (Asian giant hornet), 1796 nucleotides long. Lineage: Eukaryota; Metazoa; Arthropoda; Insecta; Hymenoptera; Vespidae. The record is from RefSeq and is a predicted model, not a curated record.
GUCGGCGUAGAAGGUACUUUGUAAAUAACUGAUCCUUCGGUUAAGUGGAUCCAAAAGAUGACAUCGCAUAUUAGGACCUAUACACCUACAUAUACACAAGUACACGUCCUAACGAAAAGCGCACCUCCAAUGUUACCAGCACCGCUAUCGCUACUACUACUUUGGAAGCAUGAUCUUCUCACAAGCUCGUACAACCUCCCACUACUCAAACCAUAGAGACCAUCUCUCUGAUAACGGUCGUAUCUGCCAACGAACUCCUUCGUUGCUUUCUCGGGACACUACAAAUAUUGCGGAAGUCGUGUAGCCGAACACUAGUUAACUACUUACGACCGUUUUUAAAGCGGAUCAAGAAGAUUAAUAACGAAGACUUUGAGAUGUCGUAAAUAACGUCAAGAUCUUCGCGUCUCGAAAGAGCAUCAUAUUCUCGUGAGUAUGGUUGGUAGAAGGAUAGCAACACGUCUCGAAGACGUUUAUGCGCUGAUGCAGCAACAAAGGAGCACCCGAGCGUUCUGUUCUUCGGUGUUGAAUUGCAGCACUUCUACUUUUCGGCACGAAACGAGAAAGUUGAUGCGAGUAAGGUUGAUACGAUGGAGAGAAGAGAAUAAGUGAGAGAGACUUUAAAAAGAAUUUCCAAGGCGUGAUGUUACUCAAAUAUCCUGCAUUCCAUAGCUUUGUAUUCGAGUUUAUACAUACAUACAUAUAUACAUACAUACAUACAUACAUACAUAUAUAUAUAUAUAUAUAUGUAUAUAUAUAUAUGUAGAGGAUUAUGUCUUCUCGUAUUCAUUCUCUUUUCAUAAGUUCAUUGAAGGAUCUUAUAAGGAUGAUCUUUCGAAGAUUGAUCUAACAAAAGGAGCAAAUUCCUCUUGCGUUGUAUGUCUAAUAGGCCGUUAAAAUUCUCUAUAAUUAAUUUCCAACUAAUUACGCAUAGGACUACUUUGUACGUGAUAAAGGGGCAUUAUUCAAAUUUUCUUAUCGGACGUUUAAAGAGUAAUUUAAAAUAUAAGAAAGAAAAGAGGAAAAAAAAAAGGGAAAAAGAAGGGACCAGGUUCGCGUUAACGUAACAGCGAAGCAAAUUAAGCAAAGUGUAACUGGCAGAAAAUAAUCGUUCCUCUAAUGCUGUGCCAAAGGGGGAGAGUUAUUCGUCGUUCGUUUCUUUUCUUAUCGCUUACGGUCUGCCUUGAAAACGUUUGCCAUAGUGUUAUAAAAGACAAAACAAUCGAGAACACGAAACGAUCGUAAGUAAAACGCGAUAACUAAAACAUUUUCUACGAUGAUGUACUACGAGGAGGUAAAGAGAAUUAGAAAAAAAAAAACUUGAGUAGGGGGAGAGAUAGAGAAAGAGAGAAAGAGAGAAAGAGAGAGAGAGAGAGAGAGAGAGAGAAAAAUCGAUUUCCCUUUGAAGAAAUUAGUUCUCCCUUCGGGGAAAUUCGUUGGAAGUGAAAAGAAAUUUAUUCCUUCCGAGAAAGAAAGAGAGAGAGAGAGAGAGAGAGAGAGAGAGAGAGAGAGAGAAAGGGUCGGGCUACGUUCAUUAACGACGAUUUACAUCGCGACGACUAAAAGUUUAGGUGAAGAUGAAGAAGAAAAAGAAGAAAGAGAAAAAGAGGAGAAAGAGGAGGAGGAGGAGGAGGAGAAAGAAGAGGAAGAAAAAGAAGAAGAAGAAGAAGAAGAAGACGCAGAUUACUCGAUUCGUAUAAUAUCGAGUUAGCUCUCGAACUCGCUUGAGAAAGGUCGAAAGGAAAAACUCUUUCUCUCUUUUUAAAAGAAAAUUGAAGAAAAAAUUCUGAAUCGUAUAA